UGGCGGACGGGUGAGUAAUGUCUGGGAAACUGCCUGAUGGAGGGGGAUAACUACUGGAAACGGUAGCUAAUACCGCAUAACGUCGCAAGACCAAAGAGGGGGACCUUCGGGCCUCUCGCCAUCGGAUGUGCCCAGAUGGGAUUAGCUAGUAGGUGGGGUAACGGCUCACCUAGGCGACGAUCCCUAGCUGGUCUGAGAGGAUGACCAGCCACACUGGAACUGAGACACGGUCCAG
Molecule: ribosomal RNA, 235 nt
Filed under: uncultured bacterium
Lineage: Bacteria
Description: partial 16S ribosomal RNA
Rfam family: Bacterial small subunit ribosomal RNA
Source: RNAcentral